GGGCCAAGCAUGAUACUGCUGCUAUUUUCUUGCCCACCUCUUCUUUUAAAGCUAGAGACCUUGCAAAUAACUCUCAAGCAUCAUCUACUUAUGGUCCAAAUGGAGCUCCUUCUUCUAUUCCUAUUACUAGCUCUAUUGCUGACUUCUAUUCCCCUGAUUCACAACCUUCUACCUUGCUUUCUCAUGCCCAAAUAUUUGAUCAGUUGUAGAUGGCAUUAGAUAC
This 223-nucleotide long non-coding RNA is filed under the name Elaeis guineensis (African oil palm). Its description in RNAcentral is "long non-coding RNA (EGUI_LNC046667)". Lineage: Eukaryota; Viridiplantae; Streptophyta; Magnoliopsida; Arecales; Arecaceae. The record is from RNAcentral.